UGGUUCUUAUUAUGCUUAGAUGACUUAAUGUCAUUUAUAAGAAAUUUGUAUGUUUUUUGCAUUAAAGGAAUUUUUUUCAAUUCAAAUUGAAUGUUCAACUCUUUAUUGAAUAUCCUGGUAUUGCUUGAGUUUCUAGCUGAACUGAUCUAUGUGAAAAAUCAGUGCAAGGAGAGAAAAAGCGAGAGGAAAACAGAGGAAGAAACUUGUUCAUUGGUUCAACGAAGCUUGUUUUUUUUUUCUUUUUCUUUUUCAUAGAAGUAUACUGUGGCAUUUUUUUCUUUCAUUAUAUUAUAUUUGGAUCAUCAUAUGAAAAAUUUUAUCUAUUGAGUUGUUGCUUUUAGACAUAAAAUCAUUGUUUUGCUUGCUGAUUUUAGAAAUUUGAGUCUUCAAUAAAAGCCUAAUGUAUACUUUCACUCAUUGUUUUGCUUGCUGAUUUUAGGAAUUUGAGUCUUCAAUAAAAGUCUAAGGUAUACUUUCACUCAGAUUUGCCUAAGGUAUAAAAGGCACAUACAUAUUUAGAUGGAUACUGUAAUUUCACAAGCUCAAGUGACAUUUGGUUCUCUGUUCUUUGGUUUUUCAUGUAUAUGAGCAUUUCUCUGAUUUUUUUUUUUAUUUUGGUUUUAUAGAACUACCUGGUGCAACAUCAGUAGAUGCUUAAGGUGAGGCCCAAUAUUUAACCAAUGAGAUGUUCAAGAAACCAUUUCUGAGAUUUUCAACAACUUUCUUUUGAUUGGAAAAUCGGAGUAGUCCUGUCUUGCAUUAUCUGAAGCUCCAGAACCAAGCUCAAGAUAAGGAUGAGAAACUUAAUUGAUUCAACAAGUGAAGUGCAAAAGAAAAUCUGAUUUGGAAGGCUUUGGUGUGCUGGCAUUUGGAAGAUCAUGAAUUACUACCUUUACUUUUGAAUAUGCAAUUGUUUAAGACUAUUUUGUUUACUAUUGUGAGAAUGUUUUGUUUAUGUUAAUUAGGCAGUGUUGAAUAUCACAAGACUUUUGGAUUAUUUUUUAGAUAAUCUUGAAUGUAUUUUGACACAAUUAUUUGGUUAUACGUGUUAUGAACUAUAUAAUUGGUACU
Molecule: long non-coding RNA, 1071 nt
Organism: Humulus lupulus (European hop)
Lineage: Eukaryota; Viridiplantae; Streptophyta; Magnoliopsida; Rosales; Cannabaceae
Exons: 3
Source: RefSeq, a predicted model, not a curated record